AAGAAAUAAGUUCAGCACUAAGUCACUUUACAUAUUGUAUUGUAAAUGUGAGAUGCAGUGUAUGGAAUAUUCAAUUCUAAUAUGAGAAAUUAUUGAUUUAAGUCCUUCUUAAAUGAGGCCAUUUACCCAAAGAGGGUGGUAGGCCCGUAUAACGAUAAUGAUUAUUAGUGAAUAUUUCCAAAGAGUCGUGUUGCUUGAUAGUGCAGCACUAAGUGGGUGGUAAACUCCAUCUAAAACUAAAUAUAACCAUGAGACCGAUAGUAAACAAGUACCGUGAGGGAAAGUUGAAAAGAACUCUGAAUAGAGAGUUAAAUAGUACGUGAAACUGCUUAGAGGUUAAGCCCGAUGAAUCUGAAUAUCCAAUAAUGGGAAAUUCAUCAUUAUGAUUAUGAUAUUUUAUGAAUGAGUUUUCUUUGUUCAUUUUAUAUGGAUAAAAGGAAAUAUAAUUUAUAAAUAUAUUGUAGUAAUAAUGUGCAUUUUUUCCAUAAAAGGACAUUGUAAUCUAUUAAUAUGAAAUAAAUAAUAAUUUAUCAAAAGGUUAUAUGGAUAAUAUAAUGAUUAAAUGUAUACUUAAUUAUAUUCUGUAAUGGAGUAUAAUUAUAUUAUUUAAUUCCAUUAACUUGAUAAAAUAUUGAUAGAUUUAAUAUAUAUGGUGCCUAUAAAUAUAUGAAUUACUCUAUAUUUUUAAUAUAGUGUAAAAGAUAUAUAUUAUUUUGAAGGGUGCGUUUCUUUUUAUUUUCUCUUUUUUUUUAUAAAUUGAGGAAUUUAAAGUUAACGUUUAUACUCUUUUUAAUAUAUAUAUAUACUUAUACAUGAGUUAUUAUGCACUUAAAAAAUAAUGAAUAUAUGAUUUACAAUGCGAAAGAUUCAGAAUACCUUCGGGACCCGUCUUGAAACACGGACCAAGGAGUCUAACAUAUUUGCAAGUUAUUGGGUAUUUAUAUUAUAAAUAAUGAUAUAAAUUAUGAAAAAAACCUAAUAGCGUAAUUAACAUAACGAAAUAUAAUAAAUAAUGGGAUUAAUUUUGAAAUAUUAUAAAAAUAUUAUAUAUAUUAUAAAUACAAUCCCGGGGCGUUCUAUAUAGUUAUGUAUGAUUGAUAUUAUUUCAUUUAUUUGGAAUAGUAUUAUAUAAUUGUACCUCUAACUGGAGCGUACCUUGAGCAUAUAUGCUGUGACCCGAAAGAUGGUGAACUAUACUUGAUCAGGUUGAAGUCAGGGGAAACCCUGAUGGAGGACCGAAGCAGUUCUGACGUGCAAAUCGAUUGUCAGAAUUGAGUAUAGGGGCGAAAGACUAAUCGAACCAUCUAGUAGCUGGUUCCCUCCGAAGUUUCCCGCAGGAUAGCUGGUGCAUUAAAUAAUUAUAAAAAGUAAUCUUAUCUGGUAAAGCGAAUGAUUAGAGGCCUUAGGGUCGAAACGAUUUUAACCUAUUCUCAAACUUUAAAUGGGUAAGAACCCACACCUUGCUUGAAAUGAAGGUGUUAUAUAUAUAAAUAAAUGAAAAAAAACCAUAUAAAUAUAUAUAUAAAAAUGGUUAUGAUAUAAUGUGCCCAGUGGGCCACUUUUGGUAAGCAGAACUGGCGCUGUGGGAUGAACCAAACGUAAUGUUACGGUGCCCAAAUUAAUAACUCAUACAGAUACCAUGAAAGGCGUUGGUUGCUUAAAACAGCAGGACGGUGGACAUGGAAGUCGUAAUCCGCUAAGGAGUGUGUAACAACUCACCUGCCGAAGCAACUAGCCCUUAAAAUGGAUGGCGCUCAAGUUAUAUACCUAUACAUUACCGCUAAAGUAGAUGAUUUAUUCUGUUUAUUUUAUAAAUAGAUAAAUUUUGAAACUUUAGUGAGUAGGAGGGUACGAUGGUGUGCAUAGAAGUGUUUGGCGUAAGCCUGCAUGGAGCCGCCAUUGGUACAGAUCUUGGUGGUAGUAGCAAAUAAUCGAAUGAGACCUUGGAGGACUGAAGUGGAGAAGGGUUUCGUGUGAACAGUGGUUGAUCACGAGUUAGUCGGUCCUAAGUUUAAAGCGAAAGCUGAAAAUUUUCAAGUUAAAUAAGAAAUGAAUAUAUAAAAUGAAAUAAUGAAAUUGAAUGAAUGAAUGAAUGAAACACUUGAAAAUUAAUUAAACGAAAGGGAAUACGGUUCCAAUUCCGUAACCUGUUGAGUAUCCGUUUGUUUAUUAAAUGUGGGCCAAUGUGCUCAUCCUGGUAACAGGAACGACCAUAAAGAAGCCGUCGAGAGAUAUCGGAAGAGUUUUCUUUUCUGUUUUAUAGUCGUACUACCAUGGAAGUCUUUCGAAGAGAGAUAUGGUAGAUGGGCUAGAAGAGCAUGACAUUUACUGUUGUGUCGAUAUUUUCUCCUCGGACCUUGAAAAUUUAUGGUGGGGUCACGCAAACUUCUCAACAGGCCGUACCAAUAUCCGCAGCUGGUCUCCAAGGUGAAGAGUCUCUAGUC
RNAcentral lists this ribosomal RNA (2444 nucleotides) under Hippobosca rufipes. RNAcentral describes it as "eukaryotic LSU rRNA". It matches the Rfam family "Eukaryotic large subunit ribosomal RNA", at positions 98 to 1888 of the family's 3401-position model. Lineage: Eukaryota; Metazoa; Arthropoda; Insecta; Diptera; Hippoboscidae. The record is from RNAcentral.